GAUCAGUCGGCUACAGAACGAACGCUGGCGGCAUGCCUAACACAUGCAAGUCGAACGAAGGCUUCGGCCUUAGUGGCGCACGGGUGCGUAACGCGUGGGAACCUGCCCCUCGGUUCGGAAUAACAGUUAGAAAUGACUGCUAAUACCGGAUGAUGACUUCGGUCCAAAGAUUUAUCGCCGAGGGAUGGGCCCGCGUAGGAUUAGCUAGUUGGUGGGGUAAAGGCCUACCAAGGCGACGAUCCUUAGCUGGUCUGAGAGGAUGAUCAGCCACACUGGGACUGAGACACGGCCCAGACUCCUACGGGAGGCAGCAGUGGGGAAUAUUGGACAAUGGGCGAAAGCCUGAUCCAGCAAUGCCGCGUGAGUGAUGAAGGCCUUAGGGUUGUAAAGCUCUUUUACCAGGGAUGAUAAUGACAGUACCUGGAGAAUAAGCUCCGGCUAACUCCGUG
This 449-nucleotide ribosomal RNA is filed under the name uncultured bacterium. RNAcentral describes it as "bacterial SSU rRNA". It matches the Rfam family "Bacterial small subunit ribosomal RNA", at positions 26 to 507 of the family's 1533-position model. The record is from RNAcentral.